RNAcentral lists this ribosomal RNA (460 nucleotides) under uncultured bacterium. Its description in RNAcentral is "partial 16S ribosomal RNA". It matches the Rfam family "Bacterial small subunit ribosomal RNA", at positions 338 to 795 of the family's 1533-position model. The record is from RNAcentral.
CCUACGGGAGGCAGCAGUGAGGAAUAUUGGUCAAUGGGCGGAAGCCUGAACCAGCCAAGUAGCGUGCAGGAUGACGGCCCUACGGGUUGUAAACUGCUUUUAUACGGGAAUAACCCGCCUUACGUGUAGGGCUUUGCAUGUACCGUAUGAAUAAGGACCGGCUAAUUCGGGUCCAGCAGCCGCGGUAAGUCGGAAGGUCCGGGCGUUACCCGGAUUUUUUGGGUUUAAAGGGAGCGUAGGCCGCAUGUCAAGCGUGCUGUGAAAUGUUCGGGCUCAACCCGGGCCUUGCAGCGCGAACUGGCGUGCGUGAGUCCGCGGAGAGCAGGCGGAAUUCGUCGUGUAGCGGUGAAAUGCUUAGAUAUGACGAAGAACCCCGAUGGCGAAGGCAGCUUGCUGCAGCGGAACUGACGCUGAUGCUCGAAAGCGCGGGUAUCGAACAGGAUUAGAUACCCGGGUAGUC